RNAcentral lists this non-coding RNA (744 nucleotides) under Exitianus nanus. Lineage: Eukaryota; Metazoa; Arthropoda; Insecta; Hemiptera; Cicadellidae. The record is from RNAcentral.
UUAAAGUUUGAUUCUGUCUUAGGAUUUUGUUAAUUCUUUAAUUUAUAUGGAAAUAUUUUAAAUCGUUUUUAAAUCCAGUAAUUAGUAUUAUUGUUUGUCUAUAGACUGACUUAGUAAUAGAAUUUAUAAUAGAUUAAAUUUGUGCCAGCAUUCGCGGUUAUACAAAUUUAUUAAAGUUAAUUUUAUAGGAUUUAAUUUAAUUAUUUUUAUUGAGUUUAAAUUUAUUGUACUUAGGUGGAAUUUGUACUUUUAAUUAUUCUCUAAAAUUUUAUUUUAAAAAAUUUUAUUACUAAACUAGGAUUAGAUACCCUAUUAUUUAUUAUGUAUUUAUAUUAAUCUUGAAUAGUAUUAGCUAUGUUCUUUAAAGCUCAAAGAAUUUGGCGGUGAAAUAUCUUCUUAGAGGAACCUGUGGAUUAAUCGAUAAACCACGAUAUAUUUUACUUGUAUUAAAAUUUGUAUACCGCUAUGUAAAUGGAGUGUUCUUAUAGGAUAUUUUCUUUUUCUAAAUUGAUUAAUAUUAGGUCAAGGUGCAGUUUUAUACAAGUUUUCAUGGGUUACUUUAAUUCUAAAUGUAUAGGAUUUUUAUUAGUUUUAAUAAUUGAGAAUUAGGAUUUAAAAGUAAAUUAAAUUAAUUAAUUUAAUUGAAUUUUGCUCUUUUUUAUGUACAUAUCGCCCGUCACUCCUGGUCUAAGUCAGGAUAAGUCGUAACAAAGUAAUUUUACCGGAAGGUGAGGUUAGAAGUAC